Molecule: long non-coding RNA, 560 nt
Organism: Aegilops tauschii subsp. strangulata
Lineage: Eukaryota; Viridiplantae; Streptophyta; Magnoliopsida; Poales; Poaceae
Source: RefSeq, a predicted model, not a curated record
AAUAUCAAAUCAGUGUGCAUUUAAUGGCCGAUAUGAAUUUUGUAGUAUCUUUCUAGAAAUGAAUAGGUCAUGCAUCUAUAUAAGAAAGACCAAACAACGAUCCCACAAUACAUGAACGAGAACUCUGUUAGAAGGCAAGCCAAAUAAGCAAGAAGUGCCAAGCCCCUUCAUCUUCUUCCUCUCAAUAUCUCCUCUUGAUCAUGGCACUUCUCAGUAAGGAUAGCACGGUUAUGUUCCUAGCAGCUCUUGUUGUCAUGGCCAUGGCUAUGAUAGUUUUGUCAUCAUCCUACGCACAAGCCGAUUAUUGCCACCAGAUCGUACCAUGCAAUGAGUCGACUUGCAGCAAUUUCUGCUUGAAGAACAACUUCAAGAACUUUGUGCCGAAUUGCCUGCCAGGAAGGAUGUACGACUACUGCUGCUGCAACAUAACCAGGGGGCUAGACUUUUGAUCAUAAUAUCCGUAGAUGGAAAUUAAUAUACUAUGGAGCAUCUUCUGCUUGAAAAUCACAUGUAAUCGUGAAUGUGGAAUGAAGGAGACAUGAUAAUAUUGCUCCGCAUAA